UGUUGCAGAUUUUUGGACGGCUGUUCUCUGAAGACGGAACCAUCGGGCACACGCCAAAACCAAGUCUCUGUAGCAAAAGAGAUAAUGGUGACAUCGCAGCAGAGCCAGUACAUCAGGCAGCACCGAGACUGGUUUGUGAGUCGGGAAAAGCUGUAGAAACGUCAUCAGGGCCAGCGUGUGAGCCGGGCCGUGUCACCGAUAAAUCUGUUCAAGUGCGGCUACUAAUCCACCACGAAGCAUCACAAGCGGAUGAAAAGAAAAUUCUGUCAACAUGUGCUACACAAACAGAGCCUGAAUCUGUUUCUUCAGGUUCCUUGUCCGUUGCGUCCCCGGAGCAGUCUUCUUCUUUGGCGUCUGUUCGAGGUCGACUGCAUUCCUGCCAGCAGUGCACCUAUGUGACCCUGGACAAGUCGACGAUGAACAGACACCUUCAGAAACAUAUGGGCGAGCUCCCCUUUCAGUGCCACAUGUGCCCAGCUGCAUUCACUGCGGAGUCGAAGCUGGUGACUCACAUACGCACUCACACAGGAGAGCGCCCCUUUUCCUGUGUCCACUGCAGUGCAUGCUUUACGACGAAAUCCCACCUCGUGAGACACAUCCACACGCACACAGGAGAGCGCCCCUUUUCCUGUGUGCACUGCAGUGCAACCUUUGCGCAGAAAUACCACCUCGUGAGGCACAUCCGCAGGCACACGGGAGAGCGUCCCAUUACCUGUGCCCACUGCAAUGCAUCGUUUGUGAUGCAAGCCGACCUCGUGCCGCACAUGCGCAUUCACACAGCACAACCCCUAUUCUCCUGUGUCCACUGCAAUGCAUCCUUUACGCAGAAAAAGAACCUCUUGAAACACGUCCGCAAGCACACAGGAGAGCAAUGUUUUUCCUGUGUCCAAUGCAAUGCAUCGUUUGUGACUAAAUCCUACCUCGUUGAGCACAUGCGCUCUCACACAGGAGAGCGUCCCUUUCUCCUGUGUUCACUGCGAUGCAUCCUUUUCGCGCAAAGGGAGCCUCGUGACGCACACACGCACUCACACAGAAGAGCGUCCCUUUUCUUGUGUCCAUUGCAAUGCAUCCUUCAAGCAGCAAAAGGUCCUCGAGAGACACGUCCGUGGUCACACAGGAGAGCGUUGCUUUUCCUGUGUCCACUGCAGUGCAUCGUUUGUGACUAAAUACUACCUCGUUGAGCAUAUGCGCACUCACACAGGAGAGCGUCCCUUUUCCUGCGUUCACUGCGAUGCAUCCUUUUCGCGGAAAGGGUGCCUCCUGGUGCACAUACACACUCACACAAAAGAGCGUUGCUUCUUCUGUGUCCAUUGCGAUGCAUCCUUUACGCAUAAAAAGGCCCUCCAGAGACACGUCCUCACUCACCCGGGAGAGCGUCCCUUCUCCUGUGCCCACUGCAAUGCAUCCUUUUCACGAAACACAUUCUCAUACACCACAUUUCCCGCCUUCAUACAAAUGAGAAGACAUAAAUGUGACGGGCCUAUGGCCUUUUCAUAAACAAAAGGUGUGGCCGAGAGAGCAGAGUUUGUUCAAUAAGUCAUUGCGAAAGUUUGGUUUAAAGGGACCCUAAAGGUAAAU
Molecule: long non-coding RNA, 1578 nt
Organism: Rhipicephalus sanguineus (brown dog tick)
Lineage: Eukaryota; Metazoa; Arthropoda; Arachnida; Ixodida; Ixodidae
Exons: 3
Source: RefSeq, a predicted model, not a curated record